Molecule: ribosomal RNA, 266 nt
Filed under: uncultured Leptospirillum sp.
Lineage: Bacteria; Pseudomonadati; Nitrospirota; Nitrospiria; Nitrospirales; Nitrospiraceae
Description: partial 16S ribosomal RNA
Rfam family: Bacterial small subunit ribosomal RNA
Source: RNAcentral
UGGCGGCGUGCUUACACAUGCAAGUCCAACGUGAAAGGGGAGCAAUCCCCCGGUAAGGUGGCGAACGGGUGAGUAAGACAUGGGAAUCUGCCCUGGAGAUGGGGAUAUGCCCUGCCGAAAGGGGGGCUGAAUACCGAGUACCGUCCGGGAAACGAGGGGAUUUCGGGGAAAGGGAGGCCUCUGGCAACAUGCUGCCGCUCCGGGAGGAGCCCAUGGCCCAUGCAGCUAGUGGGGAGGGUAACGGCCUACCAAGGCCGAAGACUCGG